Molecule: ribosomal RNA, 496 nt
Filed under: uncultured bacterium
Lineage: Bacteria
Description: partial 16S ribosomal RNA
Rfam family: Bacterial small subunit ribosomal RNA
Source: RNAcentral
GACGAACGCUGGCGGCGUGCCUAAUACAUGCAAGUAGAACGCUGAAGCGAGGAGCUUGCUCUUCUUGGAUGAGUUGCGAACGGGUGAGUAACGCGUAGGUAACCUGCCUUGUAGCGGGGGAUAACUAUUGGAAACGAUAGCUAAUACCGCAUAACAAUGGAUGACACAUGUCAUUUAUUUGAAGGGGGCAAUUGCUCCACUACAAGAUGGACCUGCGUUGUAUUAGCUAGUAGGUGAGGUAAUGGCUCACCUAGGCGACGAUACAUAGCCGACCUGAGAGGGUGAUCGGCCACACUGGGACUGAGACACGGCCCAGACUCCUACGGGAGGCAGCAGUAGGGAAUCUUCGGCAAUGGGGGCAACCCUGACCGAGCAACGCCGCGUGAGUGAAGAAGGUUUUCGGAUCGUAAAGCUCUGUUGUAAGUCAAGAACGGGUGUGAGAGUGGAAAGUUCACACUGUGACGGUAGCUUACCAGAAAGGGACGGCGAACUACGU